This 431-nucleotide ribosomal RNA is filed under the name uncultured Pelagibacterales bacterium. RNAcentral describes it as "bacterial SSU rRNA". It matches the Rfam family "Bacterial small subunit ribosomal RNA", at positions 388 to 839 of the family's 1533-position model. The record is from RNAcentral. Lineage: Bacteria; Pseudomonadati; Pseudomonadota; Alphaproteobacteria; Candidatus Pelagibacterales.
GCAGCGAUGCCGCGUGAGUGAAGAAGGCCCUUGGGUUGUAAAGCUCUUUCGUCGGGGAAGAAAAUGACUGUACCCGAAUAAGAAGGUCCGGCUAACUUCGUGCCAGCAGCCGCGGUAAUACGAAGGGACCUAGCGUAGUUCGGAAUUACUGGGCUUAAAGAGUUCGUAGGUGGUUAAAAAAGUUGGUGGUGAAAUCCCAGAGCUUAACUCUGGAACUGCCAUCAAAACUUUUUAGCUAGAGUAUGAUAGAGGAAAGCAGAAUUUCUAGUGUACAGGUGAAAUUCCUAGAUAUUAGAAAGAAUACCAAUUGCGAAGGCAGCUUUCUGGAUCAUUACUGACACUGAGGAACGAAAGCAUGGGUAGCGAAGAGGAUUAGAUACCCUCGUAGUCCAUGCCGUAAACGAUGUGUGUUAGAUGUUGGAAAUUUAUUU